This 446-nucleotide ribosomal RNA is filed under the name uncultured bacterium. RNAcentral describes it as "bacterial SSU rRNA". It matches the Rfam family "Bacterial small subunit ribosomal RNA", at positions 63 to 518 of the family's 1533-position model. The record is from RNAcentral.
CGAACGGAGAUAUUUGGUUUACUGAGAUAUCUUAGUGGCGGACGGGUGAGUAACACGUGAGCAACCUGCCUUUGAGAGAGGGAUAGCUUCUGGAAACGGAUGGUAAUACCUCAUGACAUACUUUUAUCGCAUGGUAGAAGUAUCAAAGAUUUAUCACUCAGAGAUGGGCUCGCGUCUGAUUAGCUAGUUGGUGAGGUAACGGCUCACCAAGGCGACGAUCAGUAGCCGGACUGAGAGGUUGAACGGCCACAUUGGGACUGAGACACGGCCCAGACUCCUACGGGAGGCAGCAGGUGGGGAAUAUUGCACAAUGGGGGGAAAAACCCCCUGAUGCAGCGAUGCCGCGUGGAGGAAGUAAGGUUUUCGGAUUGUAAACUCCUGUCUUAAAGGACGAUAAUGACGGUACUUUAGGAGGAAGCUCCGGCUAACUACGUGCCAGCCGCCGC